CUGAUGGAUGGGUGGGCUAUGGGGUGGAUGAACUGAUGGAUGGGUGGGUUAUAGAGAGGUGGAUGAACUGAUGGAUGGGUGGGUUAUGGGGGUUGGAUGAACUGAUGGAUGGGUGGGUUAUGGGGGUGGAUGAACUGAUGGAUGGGUGGGUUAUGGGGUGGAUGAACUGAUGGAUGGGUGGGCUAUGGGGUGGAUGAACUGAUGGAUGGGUGGGUUAUGGAGGUGGAUGAACUGAUGGAUGGGUGGGUUAUGGGGGUGGAUGAACUGAUGGAUGGGUGGGUUAUAGGGGGUGGAUGAACUGAUGGAUGGAUGGGUUAUGGGGGUGGAUGAACUGAUGGAUGGGUGGGUUAUGGGGUGGAUGAACUGAUGGAUAGGUGGGUUAUGGGGGUGGAUGAACUGAUGGAUGGGUGGGUUAUGGGGUGGAUGAACUGAUGGAUGGGUGGGCUAUGGGGUGGAUGAACUGAUGGAUGGGUGGGUUAUGGGGGGUGGAUGAACUGAUGGAUGGGUGGGUUAUGGAGGUGGAUGAACUGAUGGAUGGGUGGGUUAUGGGGGUGGAUGAACUGAUGGAUGGGUGGGUUAUAGGGGGUGGAUGAACUGAUGGAUGGAUGGGUUAUGGGGGUGGAUGAACUGAUGGAUGGGUGGGUUAUGGGGUGGAUGAACUGAUGGAUGGGUGGGUUAUGGGGGGUGGAUGAACUGAUGGAUGGAUGGGUUAUGGGGGUGGAUGAACUGAUGGAUGGGUGGGUUAUGGGGUGGAUGAACUGAUGGAUGGGUGGGUUAUGGAGGUGGAUGAAAUGAUGGAUGGAUGGGUUAUGGGGGUGGAUGAACUGAUGGAUGGGUGGGUUAUGGGGGUGGAUGAACUGAUGGAUGGGUGGGUUAUGGGGGUGGAUGAACUGAUGGAUGGGUGGGUUAUGGGGGUGGAUGAACUGAUGGAUGGAUGGGUUAUGGGGGUGGAUGAACUGAUGGAUGGAUGGGUUAUGGGGGUGGAUGAACUGAUGGAUGGGUGGGCUAUGGGGUGGAUGAACUGAUGGAUGGGUGGGUUAUGGGGUGGAUGAACUGAUGGAUGGGUGGGUUAUGGGGGGUGGAUGAACUGAUGGAUGGAUGGGUUAUGGGGGUGGAUGAACUGAUGGAUGGGUGGGUUAUGGGGGUGGAUGAACUGAUGGAUGGAUGGGUUAUGGGGGUGGAUGAACUGAUGGAUGGGUGGGUUAUGGGGGUGGAUGAACUGAUGGAUGGAUGGGUUAUGGGGGUGGAUGAACUGAUGGAUGGAUGGGUUAUGGGGGUGGAUGAACUGAUGGAUGGGUGGGUUAUGGGGUGGAUGAACUGAUGGAUGGGUGGGUUAUGGGGGUGGAUGAACUGAUGCAUGGAUGGGUUAUGGGGGUGGAUGAACUGAUGGAUGGGUGGGUUAUGGGGGUGGAUGAACUGAUGGAUGGAUGGAUGGGUUAUAGGGGUGGAUGAACUGAUGGAUGGAUGGGUUAUGGGGGUGGAUGAACUGAUGCAUGGAUGGGUUAUGGGGGUGGAUGAACUGAUGGAUGGGUGGGUUAUGCGGUGGAUGAACUGAUGGAUGGGUGGGCUAUGGGGUGGAUGAACUGAUGGAUGGGUGGGUUAUGGGGGUGGAUGAACUGAUGGAUGGGUGGGUUAUGGAGGUGGAUGAACUGAUGGAUGGGUGGGUUAUGGGGGUGGAUGAACUGAUGGAUGGGUGGGUUAUGGGGUGGAUGAACUGAUGGAUGGGUGGGUUAUGAAGGGUGGAUGAACUGAUGGAUGGAUGGGUUAUGGGGGUGGAUGAACUGAUGGAUGGGUGGGCUAUGGGGUGGAUGAACUGAUGGAUGGGUGGGUUAUGGGGUAGAUGAACUGAUGGAUGGGUGGGUUAUAGAGAGGUGGAUGAACUGAUGGAUGGGUGGGUUAUAGGGGUGGAUGAACUGAUGGAUGGGUGGGUUAUGGGGUGGAUGAACUGAUGGAUGGGUGGGUUAUGGGGUGGAUGACUGAUGGAUGGGUGGGUUAUGGGGGUGGAUGAACUGAUGGAUGGGUGGGUUAUGGAGGUGGAUGAACUGAUGGAUGGGUGGGUUAUGGGGGUGGAUGAACUGAUGGAUGGGUGGGUUAUGGAGGGGUGGAUGAACUGAUGGAUGGGUGGGUUAUGGGGUGGAUGAACUGAUGGAUGGAUGGGUUAUGGGGGUGGAUGAACUGAUGGAUGGGUGGGUUAUGGGGGUGGAUGAACUGAUGGAUGGGUGGGUUAUGGGGGUGGAUGAACUGAUGGAUGGGUGGGUUAUGGGGGUGGAUGAACUGAUGGAUGGGUGGGUUAUGGGGGUGGAUGAACUGAUGGAUGGGUGGGUUAUGGAGGGGUGGAUGAACUGAUGGAUGGGUGGGUUAUGGGGUGGAUGAACUGAUGGAUGGGUGGGUUAUGGAGGUGGAUGAACUGAUGGAUGGAUGGGUUAUGGGGGUGGAUGAACUGAUGGAUGGGUGGGUUAUGGGGUGGAUGAACUGAUGGAUGGGUGGGCUAUGGGGUGGAUGAACUGAUGGAUGGGUGGGUUAUGGGGGUGGAUGAACUGAUGGAUGGGUGGGUUAUAGAGGUGGAUGAACUGAUGGAUGGGUGGGUUAUGGGGGUGGAUGAACUGAUGGAUGGAUGGAUGGGUUAUAGGGGUGGAUGAACUGAUGGAUGGAUGGGUUAUGGGGGUGGAUGAACUGAUGGAUGGGUGGGUUAUGGGGUGGAUGAACUGAUGGAUGGGUGGGUUAUGAAGGGUGGAUGAACUGAUGGAUGGAUGGGUUAUGGGGGUGGAUGAACUGAUGGAUGGGUGGGCUAUGGGGUGGAUGAACUGAUGGAUGGGUGGGUUAUGGGGUAGAUGAACUGAUGGAUGGGUGGGUUAUAGAGAGGUGGAUGAACUGAUGGAUGGGUGGGUUAUAGGGGUGGAUGAACUGAUGGAUGGGUGGAUUAUGGGGGUGGAUGAACUGAUGGAUGGGUGGGUUAUGGGGUGGAUGAACUGAUGGAUGGGUGGGUUAUGGGGGGUGGAUGAACUGAUGGAUGGGUGGGUUAUGGGGGGUGGAUGAACUGAUGGAUGGGUGGUUAUGGGGUGGAUGAACUGAUGGAUGGGUGGGUUAUGGGGGUGGAUGAACUGAUGGAUGGAUGGGUUAUGGAGGUGGAUGAACUGAUGGAUGGGUGGGUUAUGGAGGUGGAUGAACUGAUGGAUGGGUGGGUUAUGGAGGGGUGGAUGAACUGAUGGAUGGGUGGGUUAUGGGGUGGAUGAACUGAUGGAUGGAUGGGUUAUGGGGGUGGAUGAACUGAUGGAUGGGUGGGUUAUGGGGGUGGAUGAACUGAUGGAUGGGUGGGUUAUGGGGGUGGAUGAACUGAUGGAUGGGUGGGUUAUGGGGGUGGAUGAACUGAUGGAUGGGUGGGUUAUGGGGGUGGAUGAACUGAUGGAUGGGUGGGUUAUGGGGUGGAUGAACUGAUGGAUGGGUGGGUUAUAGAGGUGGAUGAACUGAUGGAUGGGUGGGUUAUGGAGGGGUGGAUGAACUGAUGGAUGGAUGGGUUAUGGAGGGGUGGAUGAUCUGAUGGAUGGGUGGGUUAUAGAGGUGGAUGAACUGAUGGAUGGGUGGGUUAUGGAGGGGUGGAUGAACUGAUGGAUGGGUGGGUUAUGGAGGUGGAUGAACUGAUGGAUGGGUGGGCUAUGGGGUGGAUGAACUGAUGGAUGGGUGGGCUAUGGGGUGGAUGAACUGAUGGAUGGGUGGGUUAUGGGGUGGAUGAACUGAUGGAUGGGUGGGUUAUGGAGGUGGAUGAACUGAUGGAUGGAUGGGUUAUGGGGGUGGAUGAACUGAUGGAUGGGUGGGUUAUGGGGUGGAUGAACUGAUGGAUGGGUGGGCUAUGGGGUGGAUGAACUGAUGGAUGGGUGGGCUAUGGGGUGGAUGAACUGAUGGAUGGGUGGGUUAUGGGGUGGAUGAACUGAUGGAUGGGUGGGUUAUGGAGGUGGAUGAACUGAUGGAUGGAUGGGUUAUGGGGGUGGAUGAACUGAUGGAUGGGUGGGUUAUGGGGUGGAUGAACUGAUGGAUGGGUGGGUUAUGGGGGUGGAUGAACUGAUGGAUGGGUGGGUUAUAGAGGUGGAUGAACUGAUGGAUGGGUGGGUUAUGGGGGUGGAUGAACUGAUGGAUGGGUGGGUUAUGGGGGUGGAUGAACUGAUGGAUGGGUGGGUUAUGGGGGUGGAUGAACUGAUGGAUGGGUGGGUUAUGGGGUGGAUGAACUGAUGGAUGGGUGGGUUAUGGGGGUGGAUGAACUGAUGGAUGGAUGGGUUAUGGGGGUGGAUGAACUGAUGGAUGGAUGGGUUAUGGGGGUGGAUGAACUGAUGGAUGGAUGGGUUAUGGAGGUGGAUGAACUGAUGGAUGGAUGGGUUAUGGGGGUGGAUGAACUGAUGGAUGGGUGGGUUAUGGGGUGGAUGAACUGAUGGAUGGGUGGGUUAUGGGGGUGGAUGAACUGAUGCAUGGAUGGGUUAUGGGGGUGGAUGAACUGAUGGAUGGGUGGGUUAUGGGGGUGGAUGAACUGAUGGAUGGAUGGAUGGGUUAUGGGGGUGGAUGAACUGAUGGAUGGGUGGGUUAUGGGGUGGAUGAACUGAUGGAUGGGUGGGUUAUGGGGGUGGAUGAACUGAUGGAUGGAUGGGUUAUGGGGGUGGAUGAACUGAUGGAUGGAUGGGUUAUGGGGUGGAUGAACUGAUGGAUGGGUGGGUUAUGGGGGUGGAUGAACUGAUGGAUGGAUGGGUUAUGGGGGUGGAUGAACUGAUGGAUGGAUGGGUUAUGGGGGUGGAUAAACUGAUGGAUGGGUGGGUUAUGGGGUGGAUGAACUGAUGGAUGGGUGGGUUAUGGGGGUGGAUGAACUGAUGCAUGGAUGGGUUAUGGGGGUGGAUGAACUGAUGGAUGGAUGGGUUAUGGGGGUGGAUGAACUGAGGGAUGGAUGGGUUAUGGGGGUGGAUGAACUGAUGGAUGGGUGGGUUAUGGGGUGGAUGAACUGAUGGAUGGGUGGGUUAUGGGGGUGGAUGAACUGAUGCAUGGAUGGGUUAUGGGGGUGGAUGAACUGAUGGAUGGGUGGGUUAUGGGGGUGGAUGAACUGAUGGAUGGAUGGAUGGGUUAUAGGGGUAGAUGAACUGAUGGAUGGAUGGGUUAUGGCGGUGGAUAAACUGAUGCAUGGAUGGGUUAUGGGGGUGGAUGAACUGAUGGAUGGGUGGGUUAUGGGGUGGAUGAACUGAUGGAUGGGUGGGCUAUGGGGUGGAUGAACUGAUGGAUGGGUGGGUUAUGGGGGUGGAUGAACUGAUGGAUGGGUGGGUUAUGGAGGUGGAUGAACUGAUGGAUGGGUGGAUUAUGGGGGUGGAUGAACUGAUGGAUGGGUGGGUUAUGGGGUGGAUGAACUGAUGGAUGGGUGGGUUAUGGGGGGUGGAUGAACUGAUGGAUGGAUGGGUUAUGGGGGUGGAUGAACUGAUGGAUGGGUUGGUUAUGGGGGUGGAUGAACUGAUGGAUGGGUGGGUUAUGGGGGUGGAUGAACUGAUGGAUGGGUGGGUUAUGGGGGUGGAUGAACUGAUGGAUGGAUGGGUUAUGGGGGUGGAUGAACUGAUGGAUGGAUGGGUUAUGGGGGUGGAUAAACUGAUGGAUGGGUGGGUUAUGGGGGGUGGAUGAACUGAUGGAUGGGUGGGUUAUGGGGUGGAUGAACUGAUGGAUGGGUGGGUUAUGGGGUGGAUGAACUGAUGGAUGGGUGGGCUAUGGGGUGCAUGAACUGAUGGAUGGAUGGGUUAUGGGGUGGAUGAACUGAUGGAUGGGUGGGUUAUGGGGUGGAUGAACUGAUGGAUGGAUGGGUUAUGGGGGUGGAUGAACUGAUGGAUGGGUGGGUUAUGGGGGUGGAUGAACUGAUGGAUGGAUGGGUUAUGGGGGUGGAUGAACUGAUGGAUGGAUGGGUUAUGGGGGUGGAUGAACUGAUGGAUGGGUGGGUUAUGGGAGUUGAUGAACUGAUGGAUGGGUGGGUUAUGGGGGGUGGAUGAACUGAUGGAUGGAUGGGUUAUGGGGGUGGAUGAACUGAUGGAUGGAUG
Long non-coding RNA from Apodemus sylvaticus (European woodmouse), 6047 nucleotides. RefSeq lists it as uncharacterized. The transcript is spliced from 13 exons. The record is from RefSeq and is a predicted model, not a curated record. Lineage: Eukaryota; Metazoa; Chordata; Mammalia; Rodentia; Muridae.